Molecule: unclassified non-coding RNA, 1333 nt
Filed under: Hevea brasiliensis (rubber tree)
Lineage: Eukaryota; Viridiplantae; Streptophyta; Magnoliopsida; Malpighiales; Euphorbiaceae
Source: RNAcentral
CGAGUAAAUAAGGGAGCAACCCUACAAGAAAAACAAAGAAAGUUACUUGAUGACAAGUAGCAUUGCAAAAAUAUAAAUCCAUAAAAAGCUUUAACUUUUCGAUAACUAAUUGUUAUUCUUAAUUAUUGCAUUCUAAAAUUAAAACUUUACCUUUCGCCCCAAAUUGUUGAGAUAAACCUAUUACUUCAAUUAUAAAAUAAAAUAAAAUAAAACAAUAACAUAAAAGAUUAAAGAUUCAACCAAGGCAUGUCUAGUUCUAGUUCAAAACCUAACGCACCCUUUACUCAAGAACAAAUUCAUCAAUUCCUAGCUUCAGCACAACCACAUACUUUAAAUUUCUCUAAUCAUCAUUUCAAUUUCAUAGGUAUAAUUACUUAUUUUUCCUCUCAUUCUAGUAACCAUUGAAUUAUUGAUUCAAAUUGCACCAAUCACAUCACUAAUUGUUAGAUUUCUUAACCAAUGUUCAUGAUUACCAAAUGGAGAUCAAGUUCUUAUGACUCACCUUGGUUCUUGUAAAUUUAGUUCUUAAAUUCAUUUAGACAAUGUUCUUUAAGUUCCUUCCUUUAAAUUUAAUCUCUUAUUUCUUCGCAAAAUCAUUAAGGCACUUAAUUAUUUAAUUGAGUUCUUUCCUCAUUUUUUUAUGUUCAUGACUUUGUGGUGAUGAAGAAAGUGAUAGGUUUGGCUAUGGAUCAUGAAGCAUGACUUGUUUCUCUUCAGGAACGAACAGUCCUUGGUGAGCACAUAGCCCAAUUCAAUGAAAAGGUCUGUGACUUGUUACAUGUGGAUGUUAAGUUGAGUGAUGAAGAAAAACACUUAAUCCUUUUUUGCUCUCUACCACCACCAUUUGGGCACCCAACAACUAUAUUGAUAUUAGUAGGAGGAUCUAAAGUAUGAGAAGGUCACGAAAACAUUCAAAUGCUAUCAUAUAAUGCAAAAGUUAGAUUUAGAUAAUUCCAAGAGGGAUUGGUGAGCUAUGAACUUGUAAGUGGUAAAGAAAGGGAAAUCAGUCCAGGGGAAACUCUAAGUUAAGGUCCAAGUCAAAUGCCAAUAAGUGGAGUGUUUUAAGUGUCAUAAGAAGGGCCACUUCAAGAAAGAUUGCCUAAUGCUGAAGAACCAAGGAAAGGACGACUGGAAAGGUAGUUCUUUAAGUUUAGCAAGUAUAGUGUUAGAAACUUUAAAUGAAGAAGACUUGAUGGUGGUAUCUACAGUAAGAAAAGGUACAUACACUUCCACCUAGACCUUAGAUUUAGCUUAUUCUUCUCAUUAUACUACACAUAGAUACUAGUUUCGUAGAUAUGAAAAUUAUGAGGUUGCAAGUGUUAAGUUGAGUGAU